CUACGGGAUGCUGCCGUCAAGAAUAUUCCGCAAUAGGCGAAAGCCUGACGGAGCGACGCCGCGUGCCAGAGGAAGCCCUUCGGGGUGUAAAUGGCUUUUAGCAGGGAAGAAUUCGUGACGGUACCUGCAGAAUAAGGGGCUGCUAAACUCGUGCCAGCAGCAGCGGUAAUACGAGUGCCCCAAGCGUUAUCCGAAUUUACUGGGCGUAAAGCGUGCGCAGGCGGUUUAAUAAGUCUUUGGUUAAAUCGUGGGGCUCAACUCCAUGACUGUCAAAGAUACUGUUAGACUUUGAGACUGGAAGAGGCAAGCGGAAUUGCUGGUGGAGGGGUUAAAUCCGUUGAUAUCAGCAAGAACAUCAAAGGCGAAGGCAGCUUGCUAGGACAGUUCUGACGCUGUUUGCACGAAAGCGUGGGUAGCGAAUGGGAUUAGAUACCCCAGUAGUC
This 443-nucleotide ribosomal RNA is filed under the name uncultured bacterium. RNAcentral's name for it is "partial 16S ribosomal RNA". It matches the Rfam family "Bacterial small subunit ribosomal RNA", at positions 339 to 795 of the family's 1533-position model. The record is from RNAcentral.